RNAcentral lists this ribosomal RNA (493 nucleotides) under Trochalus sp. DA1517. RNAcentral describes it as "partial 16S large subunit ribosomal RNA". It matches the Rfam family "Archaeal large subunit ribosomal RNA", at positions 1938 to 2668 of the family's 2987-position model. Lineage: Eukaryota; Metazoa; Arthropoda; Insecta; Coleoptera; Scarabaeidae. The record is from RNAcentral.
UAUAAAGUNUNAUCUGCCCAAUGAGAAUUUGAAUGGCCGCGGUACUUUGACCGUGCAAAGGUAGCAUAAUAAUUAGUUUUUUAAUUGAAAGCUGGAAUGAACGAUUGAACGAGAAAAUGACUGUCUCAAUUUAAUUUAAUUAGAAUUUUAUUUUUAAGUAAGAAAGCUUAGAUAAAUUUAAAAGACGAGAAGACCCUAUAGAGUUUUAUAGUUUAUUUUAAAUUAAUUAUUUAGUAAUUUUAUAUUAAUUUAGAUUAAAUUAUUUUAUUGGGGUGAUAGAAAAAUUUAAUAAACUUUUUUUUUUAAUAUCAUUAAUUUAUGUUUAAUUGAUCCAAUAAUUUUGAUUAUAAGAUUAAAUUACCUUAGGGAUAACAGCGUAAUUUUUUUUUAGAGUUCUUAUCGAAAGAAGAGAUUGCGACCUCGAUGUUGGAUUAAAAUAAAAGUUUGGUGUAGGGGCUAAAUAUUUAGGUCUGUUCGACCUUUAAAAUUUUNC